GAUGAACGCUGGCGGCGUGCCUAAUACAUGCAAGUCGAACGCUGGAAAUCUAGCUUGCUAGAUUGAAGGAGUGGCGAACGGGUGAGUAAUACAUAAGCAACCUACCCACGAAGACUGGGAUAAUCUCUGGAAACGGGGACUAAUACCGGAUAGGUAAUCGGAAGGCAUCUUCUGAUUAUUAAAGGUUAAAAACACUGGUGGAUGGGCUUAUGGCGCAUUAGUUAGUUGGUGAGGUAACGGCCCACCAAGACGAUGAUGCGUAGCCGGCCUGAGAGGGUGAACGGCCACAUUGGGACUGAGACACGGCCCAGACUCCUACGGGAGGCAGCAGUAGGGAAUUUUCGGCGAUGGGGGAAACCCUGACCGAGCAACGCCGCGUGAGUGAUGACGGCCUUCGGGUUGUAAAGCUCUGUUGUAAGGGAAGAACGGUAGAUAGAGAAUAUCUAAAUGACGGUACCUUACCAGAAAGCCACGGCUAACUACGUG
This 486-nucleotide ribosomal RNA is filed under the name uncultured bacterium. RNAcentral's name for it is "partial 16S ribosomal RNA". It matches the Rfam family "Bacterial small subunit ribosomal RNA", at positions 28 to 507 of the family's 1533-position model. The record is from RNAcentral.